GAUGAACGCUGGCGGCGUGCCUAAUACAUGCAAGUCGAGCGAACAGAUGAGGAGCUUGCUCCUCUGACGUUAGCGGCGGACGGGUGAGUAACACGUGGAUAACCUACCUAUAAGACUGGGAUAACUUCGGGAAACCGGAGCUAAUACCGGAUAAUAUAUUGAACCGCAUGGUUCAAUAGUAAAAGACGGUUUUGCUGUCACUUAUAGAUGGAUCCGCGCCGCAUUAGCUAGUUGGUAAGGUAACGGCUUACCAAGGCGACGAUGCGUAGCCGACCUGAGAGGGUGAUCGGCCACACUGGAACUGAGACACGGUCCAGACUCCUACGGGAGGCAGCAGUAGGGAAUCUUCCGCAAUGGGCGAAAGCUUGACGGAGCAACGCCGCGUGAGUGAUGAAGGUCUUCGGAUCGUAAAACUCUGUUAUUAGGGAAGAACAAAUGUGUAAGUAACUAUGCACGUCUUGACGGUACCUAAUCAGAAAGCCACGGCUAACUACGUG
This 497-nucleotide ribosomal RNA is filed under the name uncultured bacterium. RNAcentral's name for it is "partial 16S ribosomal RNA". It matches the Rfam family "Bacterial small subunit ribosomal RNA", at positions 28 to 507 of the family's 1533-position model. The record is from RNAcentral.